UCAUUGAGAAGCCGAACGGUACCACCAAAAUAUAAAGUGAAGAGACCCACUUAUCCAGAACAAGUAAAAAUCUUACUAGAGGCAACUGGAUAUAGGAAACAAAGUGAACUACCAGUUUUCUGUUGAACAAUCACUACUCUGGUUUUAUUGUGACGUGUACCUAAAUUUAUUCUUAGAGAAAACUUGACAUGCAGACUGCAUGUUCUUAUGUAUUGUUUCAGUAACAAUGAUUGCAUAGUAAUUCAGUUAUAACUAUGUAACAGAAGAUGGCAGGAACAAUGGUACAAAUUCAAGUAUGUACAUGCCAAAGUUGAUAGGUUUAACUCUAGGCAUUGCAUUACUAUGUCAUGUUGUACUAUUCUUUAAAGAAUUUGUAGGGGGUACUAGAAAAUAUGACUCGAUGAGGGAUGCAUUGAUUUAAAAAAACGGCCUGAAAGUA
Long non-coding RNA from Triticum aestivum (bread wheat), 439 nucleotides. RefSeq lists it as uncharacterized. The record is from RefSeq and is a predicted model, not a curated record. NCBI's taxonomy places the organism in Eukaryota, Viridiplantae, Streptophyta, Magnoliopsida, Poales, Poaceae. The transcript has 2 exons.